Molecule: ribosomal RNA, 180 nt
Filed under: uncultured bacterium
Lineage: Bacteria
Description: partial 16S ribosomal RNA
Rfam family: Bacterial small subunit ribosomal RNA
Source: RNAcentral
UGAAGCUGGAAUCGCUAGUAAUCGCGGAUCAGAAUGCCGCGGUGAAUACGUUCCCGGGUCUUGUACACACCGCCCGUCACACCAUGGGAGUCGGUAACGCCCGAAGUCAGUGACCCAACCGUAAGGAGGGAGCUGCCGAAGGCGGGACUGGUAACUGGGGCGAAGUCGUAACAAGGUAAC